Molecule: non-coding RNA, 95 nt
Organism: Triticum aestivum (bread wheat)
Lineage: Eukaryota; Viridiplantae; Streptophyta; Magnoliopsida; Poales; Poaceae
Source: Rfam
GGAGAGAUGGCCGAGCGGUUCAAGGCGUNAAGGCGUAGCAUUGGAACUGCUAUGUAGACUUUUGUUUACCGAGGGUUCGAAUCCCUCUCUUUCCG